Long non-coding RNA from Passer domesticus (house sparrow), 2138 nucleotides. RefSeq lists it as uncharacterized. NCBI's taxonomy places the organism in Eukaryota, Metazoa, Chordata, Aves, Passeriformes, Passeridae. The transcript has 2 exons. The record is from RefSeq and is a predicted model, not a curated record.
CAUAUCCAUCCCAAUUCAAGUUCUAGCUGAUGUCAUGCAGGGACUAAGGUUAUAAUGGAUAUACUCCACAUACCUAUGACUUCCAACUCUGCUUCUCACUGUGUUAUUCAUGGUUUAUUACAUUGUUUUUAGCAACUAUUUUGAUUACUUUUCUGCUUUGGAGAAAACUAAUGUAUGCAAAAUUUUAUUAUCAUUUUAAAAAUUCCAUUAAUGUCCAUUAUAAAAAUUACAUUUACUUAUUUUUUUCUUUUUUUGGAGCCUAUUUACAUUUUCCAGAAGCAGCUUUACAAGUAUUUUGUUCCAUAAUAAUGCAGAUGCUAAUUUCUGAGGAAUUCUGAUGAAAAGAGGUGGAGUAUAACAGAAUAUAGGACACUGUAAGUGUGUUUCUUUAUAUCAUGAGAGUGUGUUUGGUAGGGGUAACCAACAUGCUCCUAAACAAGCAGACCAAACUUGCUUUUAGUAACAAAAAUUAUAAUUGAAAUCUAUUUUUUUUUAAAGCAGAGUUGGAAUUUUUCAAACCAUACAAUACCAUUUUACCAGGCUUUCUACAAAUUUGGGCAUUGUCUAUUAAAAUAUAUUAUGUGACUACUUUGAUAUUUUCUUUUUGUCUGCUAUUAAUGACAACAGGAAUCCUGUUAAAAUAAGAAUUCAAAAUAAUGCUUAAAGGAGAAAAUAUUCAUUAUUCUCCCAGUCUUGAAUAGUUUUCGAUACCACAUUGGUGUUUCAUUGAUAACAGUGAGUUGGUUGAGUCAAAAUUUGCUCAUGGUCAACUCCAAUAUCUUUGCAAACUAGUAUGCAACAUUAUUUAGACAUAUUCUUAGUGUCAGAACAGCUUGUUAAAAUAUAGGUAAAUAUUUCAUUUAAUUGUCAAGGUACUUUAUUGUUUACAAUCAAUGACUUGUAGAGGCUGCUGCUCAGGUUUCAUGCAAUUCUUAGCUACAUGCUAGAAGAUACCAAGCAACAGUUCUUAAGCUAAAGAUCAUAAAGUAAAGUAAGAACAGCAGGAAGGAAAAAUAAUCUUUCUUUUUUUAUUUUUUUUAUGUAGUGCAGCAAGUUGGGAAGAAUAAACUAAUGUGUUUAUAAUCUAUGAAAAUACCUUUAAUAAAAUCAAAUCUGACUGCAAGUUUUUUGAAGAUCAGUUGUAGUGUUUCAGUUAUAGUGCUUCCCUAAAGAUUUAAAUCUGAAAGAGAGAAGAAAGGAACAUAUGAAAGAUGUUUAAAUAUAUAUGUAUAUAUGUAUUCUAAAAUGAGUACAUGUAGUUGUAAGUACAUCCAGGGCCAUUCCAUCAUGUUCAAACUGUGGUAGAAAUAUUUCCCUUUACCUCAGGAUAACAAAUGUAUUGGCAAAAUGGACUAACUUCAACAGAGAGCACAUGGAACACUCAGAGCUGAGCAUUUGCCUGUGGAGAAGGGGCUGAAGGACCAGAACUGGCUCAUCCUAAAGAACAUAGAACUUAGGGGGCCUAACUGCACCUCCCCAGUGCACUAGGUUUUUUUGGAAAACAAAGACAGAGCCUUUAUAACCAUUCUUGGCAGGGUAAAGAGACAAUGGAUACAAACUGCAGUAAGAAAGUUGUUUCCUCCUCAGAGAGUCUGUGUUCUCUGUCCUUUGUGGUUUUUAAAUCCUGACUGAACACAGCUCUGAGCAACCUGGUCUGACCUCAUAGAUGACAAUGCUCUGAGCAAGCAGCUGGACUGGCAGUCUUUAACAUGAAAUAGACUCUGCUUCUGUGACUGUGGUAAAACAAGCAUAAGAUCACUGCAGAUUUUCCUGUCAGCUUAUACUGGGUUUUUUGCAGUUAAAGCUGAUCACUGAAAUGAUGCUGUGUAGAAGAUCAGACAGCUGCAGAAGCUGAGCUUGGUAGCACUGCAGACCACCUGGCCCUGGUACAAUGGAGGCAAGAGAGGUGAGAGAGACAAACUCAAGUCAAGAACAAGAAGUGAAGACACCAUGUCUGAUCACUCUCAUCAGAGAUGAUGUGGACAAGGACAUCACUGACGCUAAAGGUUGUAACCGGGGUUAAAAAGAUUGUGUUGCUAAGGAAACGGGAGCAAGGGUGUCUGAGUAGAAAAUUUUGUGUGGAAGUUAAAGAACUAUAAAUAUUGGUGAUUAGUGUAAUAAACUGGCUUUGUCUUGCU